This is a long non-coding RNA of Cyprinus carpio (common carp), 2171 nucleotides long. Lineage: Eukaryota; Metazoa; Chordata; Actinopteri; Cypriniformes; Cyprinidae. The record is from Ensembl.
AUGGAUGUUUCCAAGAUUCCUUUUGAACUUGCAGAGGAUGUUUUUUCUGCAGUAGUGGCACCAAGGGUUGUGCUUUCUACAAUAGGUGUGACAAGUGAGGUACUUGCUGCAGAAGUAGAGCCAAGGGUAGCAGUUUCUGCAGCAGUGGUUCCCAGGGUUGUUCUUUCUACGGAAAUGGUAGUAGUUUCUGCAGAAGUUGUGCCUAGGAUUGUUCUUUCUACAGAAAUGGUAGUAGUUUCUGCAGAAGUGAUGCCAAGGGUAGCCGUUUCUGCAGAAGUCAUACCCAGGGUUGUGCUUUCUACAGAAGUAGAAAUGGUUUCUGCAGAAGUGAUGCCAAGGGUAGUAGAUUCAGCAGAGGUUGUGCCCAGGCUUGUGGUUUCUACAGAAGUGGUGGUAGUUUCUCCAGAAGUCGUGCCCAGGGUUGUGCUUUCUACAGAAGUAGAAGUGGUUUUUGCAUAAGUGAUGCCAAGGGUAGUAGAUUCAGCAGAGGUUGUGCCCAAGGUUGUACUUCCUACAAAAGGGGUGUCAAGUGAGGUACUUGCUGCAGAAAUGCCCUCAAGCGUACUAAUUUCUGUAAAAUGGGUAGUUUGAGCCAAUGUGGUUUCAACAGCAGAUGUUAAGGCAGGGGUAGUUAAGCUGGAUGCCAUUGUCUGAGCAGUUGUCAUUACAAGCAUGGAUGUUUCCAAGAUUCCUGUUGAACUUAUAGAGGAUGUUGUUUCUGCAGAAGUUGUGCCCAGGGUUGUGCUUUCUACAGAAGUGGCUCCAAGGGUAGAAGGUCCUGCAGAAGUGGUUCUCUGGGUUGUGCUUUCAACAGAAGUGAUGCCAAGGGUAGUAGUUUCUGAAGGAGCGCUAGUUUGAUUCAUUGUUGAUUCAAUAGCAGAUGUUAAGCCAGGCUUGGUUAAAGCUGCAGUUGUUUUUCCAGCAGUGGUCAUUACUGGUGUCAACGUUUCCAAUACUAUUCCUGUUGAACUAACUAAGGAUGUAUUGUCAGCAGAAGAGGUGACAAAGUUAGUAGUUUCUUCAGCAGUGGUGGCAAGGGUUGCAGUCUCUGUGGUAGUUUUAGCCAUUGUGGUUUCAACAGCAAACGUUGCGGCAGGUGUUGGGUCAGGUGAGAUUGUUGCUCCAACAGUUGUCAUUACAUUUGUGGAUGCUCCUAAAAUAUUUAUUGUUGAACUAAUGGAGGGCAUUAUUUCAGCAGUAUUAGUUCUCGGAGAAGUAGUUUCUAUGGAAGUGGUGUCUAGAAAAGUAGUUUCAGCAGAAGUUGUUAUCAGAGCUAUUGUGGUUCCAGCAACAGAUGUUAAAUAAGGCAUGGUCUCAGGUAAGGUUGUUGCUCCAGCAGUUGUCAUAACAGGUGUGAAUGUUUUCAAUAUAAUUUCUGUUGAGCUAACUGAGUGAGUUGUUUCUGCAGAACUCAAAGGAGUCAAUGGGAUAUCCGAGAAACCCCAUUCAGAGUCAUGUCUUGUGCUUUUCAAUGUAGACUGGCCUGUUUGAGUGGGAAUACUUGAUGAAAGUGUUCUUUGGGUAGUUUUAAGGUUUUUUUCAAGUUCCCCACAUGGAACAGUGGGUGUGGAAAGGUCAAAAUCGGUCCCAAACUCUACAUCGGCAUCAACAACAGGAGUUGCAGUUUUGGUGAUCCUGUCUGGUUGUGUAGCUGCAUUUGAGGAUUCCCCUUCUUUGGUAGUACAAAGAGUUAUAUCUGGUGGCCUGAAGGGAUCUACGUUUGCCCAUGAAGUGGGAUUAGGAUGUAUAGGUGUGCUGGAUGGAAGUAUCCUUUGGGUAGUUUUAGGAGUUUCUUCAAAUUCCCCACAUGGAACAGUGGGUUUGACAUAAAAAUCGGUCCCAAAUUCUGCAUCAGCAUCAACAACAGAAGUUACAGUUUUGGUCAUUCCACUUGACUGUGUAGCAGCACUUGAGGUUUCUGCUUUCUGGGUUGUUCCAAUAGUUAUCUCAGGUGACCUAAAGGGAUUUGUGUUUGUCCAUGUACUGGGGUCUGAAAAUGUUGUUGUGCUGGAUGCAAGCAUCAUUUGGGUCGUUUUAGGUGUUUUUUCAAAUUCCCCACAAGGAACAGUGGGUUUGACUUCAAAGUCCAAAAGACCUAAAUUUGCCCCAACAGUAGGUACUGAAUCAUAUUCCCGAAUAAAAUCAAAAGGGUUUUGUCUUCGUUUUCUGAU